GAUGAACGCUGGCGGCGUGCCUAAUACAUGCAAGUCGAGCGAACAGACGAGGAGCUUGCUCCGCUGACGUUAGCGGCGGACGGGUGAGUAACACGUGGAUAACCUACCUAUAAGACUGGGAUAACUUCGGGAAACCGGAGCUAAUACCGGAUAAUAUAUUGAACCGCAUGGUUCAAUAGUGAAAGACGGGUUUGCUGUCACUUAUAGAUGGAUCCGCGCCGCAUGAGCUAGUUGGUAAGGUAACGGCUUAUCAAGGCAACGAUGCGUAGCCGACCUGAGAGGCGGAUAGGCCACACGGGAACGUGGACACGGUCACGGGUACUGCGGGACGCAGCAGUCGGGAAUCUUCCGCAGUAGGCGGAAACCUUACAGAGCGACGGCGCGCGUGUUAUAGAGGUCUUCGGAUCGUAAAGCUCUGUUAUGAGUGAUAAACAUAUGUGUAAGUAACUAUGCACGUCUUGACGGUACCUACUCAGAAAGCGACGGCUAACUACGUG
This 497-nucleotide ribosomal RNA is filed under the name uncultured bacterium. Its description in RNAcentral is "partial 16S ribosomal RNA". It matches the Rfam family "Bacterial small subunit ribosomal RNA", at positions 28 to 507 of the family's 1533-position model. The record is from RNAcentral.